Molecule: long non-coding RNA, 279 nt
Filed under: Anas platyrhynchos platyrhynchos (common mallard)
Lineage: Eukaryota; Metazoa; Chordata; Aves; Anseriformes; Anatidae
Description: lncRNA (ENSAPLG00000021382.1)
Source: RNAcentral
UGCACAUAGAUUUCUUCUCUUCCAGCUGUAAUGCAGAUCUCUAAAAUGUUAUGGGAAUCACUUAAGCAACAUCGGUAUAUCAGGAAUGGCCAUGCUGCCACGUCACAGCUGCUGAAGUGCUGGACUUACAUCUGGAAACCUGGAAACUUUCUGGAUGGGACAGGAGUUGUGCGCAACACCGGCACAAAGCUAGUGACCAUGACCAGCCCUGCUCUGCUAAACCUGGGAGUGUGCUAAUCCCAUAGUGAUAUGGUGAUUUUAAGCAUAUCCAAUACCAAG